AAAAAAGUUAUCAAAGAAUGCAUCCAUGAAAACUUCCUAGGUGGUAAGGGGUCAAGGCCACCUUCAAAAUGUGGCGAGUUAAGCUUCUUAAACUCCGCUAUGUUAUGGGAAAUAGAACUCUCGACUGUUCGGUAUUUGGGGGUAGGAGGUGGACAAGGGUUGACUUGAUUUUGUCCUACAAUUGUAGUCAAUCCUCGGAUGGCUCGGAAGAGUU
RNAcentral lists this long non-coding RNA (214 nucleotides) under Carica papaya (papaya). RNAcentral's name for it is "long non-coding RNA (CPAP_LNC010093)". Lineage: Eukaryota; Viridiplantae; Streptophyta; Magnoliopsida; Brassicales; Caricaceae. The record is from RNAcentral.